GGACUAAUGCACGGCGCCUCGCCGGCGUCGGUUCUCAAACCACUGCGUAUCGAGCUCUUGUUAGUUGCCUCCCCCCCCAUUAAAGGGGGGGAGGGUCCAGCUUCUGAGAACUUUUCGUUGCCCCCCUUCCCUCGAGGGAGGGGGCCCCCCAAACCUUCCGUCGUGAUGGCAUCGUCUGACUACUAUUGAACAAAUAGAAAAUACAACUUUCAACGAUGGAUCUCUUGGCUCCGGCAUCGAUGAAGAACGCAGCGAAAUGCGAUAACUAGUGUGAAUUGCAGAUUUCAGUGAAUCAUCGAGUCUUUGAACGCACAUUGCGCCUCUUGGUAUUCCUCGAGGCAUGCCUGUUCGAGCGUCGUUUCGCCCCUCAAGCGCGAGCUUGGUGUUGGGGAUCGCCCCUGAGACACGGCGGCGGCCCUUAAAUGCAUCGGCGGUGCUGGUGCCAGCCCGGAGCGCAGCAGACAUGCGGCUUCCAGGCGGCGCGGCGCCCGCCGGACAACGAGACUUUUUUUACGUGUCGACCUCGAAUCAGGCAAGGAUACCCGCUGAACUUAAGCAUAUCAG
RNAcentral lists this ribosomal RNA (564 nucleotides) under fungal sp. SF61. RNAcentral describes it as "eukaryotic LSU rRNA". The stretch from base 205 to 358 matches the Rfam family "5.8S ribosomal RNA". The record is from RNAcentral. Lineage: Eukaryota; Fungi.